This 429-nucleotide ribosomal RNA is filed under the name Pantoea sp. RNAcentral's name for it is "bacterial SSU rRNA". It matches the Rfam family "Bacterial small subunit ribosomal RNA", at positions 1028 to 1457 of the family's 1533-position model. The record is from RNAcentral. Lineage: Bacteria; Pseudomonadati; Pseudomonadota; Gammaproteobacteria; Enterobacterales; Erwiniaceae.
ACUGAGACAGGUGCUGCAUGGCUGUCGUCAGCUCGUGUUGUGAAAUGUUGGGUUAAGUCCCGCAACGAGCGCAACCCUUAUCCUUUGUUGCCAGCGAUUCGGUCGGGAACUCAAAGGAGACUGCCGGUGAUAAACCGGAGGAAGGUGGGGAUGACGUCAAGUCAUCAUGGCCCUUACGAGUAGGGCUACACACGUGCUACAAUGGCGCAUACAAAGAGAAGCGACCUCGCGAGAGCAAGCGGACCUCAUAAAGUGCGUCGUAGUCCGGAUCGGAGUCUGCAACUCGACUCCGUGAAGUCGGAAUCGCUAGUAAUCGUGGAUCAGAAUGCCACGGUGAAUACGUUCCCGGGCCUUGUACACACCGCCCGUCACACCAUGGGAGUGGGUUGCAAAAGAAGUAGGUAGCUUAACCUUCGGGAGGGCGCUACC